RNAcentral lists this ribosomal RNA (253 nucleotides) under uncultured bacterium. RNAcentral describes it as "partial 16S ribosomal RNA". It matches the Rfam family "Bacterial small subunit ribosomal RNA", at positions 524 to 776 of the family's 1533-position model. The record is from RNAcentral.
UACGUAGGCAGCAAGCGUUGUUCGGAGUUACUGGGCGUAAAGGGUGCGUAGGCGGUUGUUUAAGUUUGGUGUGAAAUCUCCCGGCUCAACUGGGAGGGUGCGCCGAAUACUGAAUGACUAGAGUGCGGGAGAGGAGAGUGGAAUUCCUGGUGUAGCGGUGAAAUGCGUAGAUAUCAGGAGGAACACCUGUGGUGUAGACGGCUUUCUGGACCAUAACUGACGCUGAGACACGAAAGCGUGGGUAGCAAACAGG